AAAUGUUUACAAUGGAGGGAUUUUUUAUUAAAAAAAUGGGGAAAGGAAGCACACUUAGUUAUGUAAACCCCAAAUAACUUUAAAUGUCCAACACUACAACUCAACAUCAAACAGCAGCAAACGACCUAAAUUCUCACAGCCUACACCAGGGACUACAGUCAUUUGUAUGAGUAUCAUUAACUCAAAAGUUCUGCACGCUUUGGAAAACAAUUUUUAUAAAAUUAUAGCAACGAUAAUACCAUAAAAUUUGCCAUUCUAUCAAAAAAAGACCAAAUUGGAUUACUCAUACCUUAUCUUUUGGAGAACAGAAAAA
This 313-nucleotide unclassified non-coding RNA is filed under the name Hevea brasiliensis (rubber tree). The record is from RNAcentral. Lineage: Eukaryota; Viridiplantae; Streptophyta; Magnoliopsida; Malpighiales; Euphorbiaceae.